AAAUAGAAAGAGGAGUUAGGAGUGAGACUGUGUCUAUUGAACUCAGAUCAAAGAGUCUUCUCCCUCCUUCCAAUCACAUAUGCGACGGCGCUCAACCGCUUCUCCGACGCGAGACUCACAUCGCCGCCGUGACAAAUUCCAUCCCGACGACCUUCGUCUUCCCUCUUCGUUCAUCUCUCCAAUUAAACUUCUCAUCUCUCAGUUCAUAAUUUUAACAAACAACUAGGUUAAGCAGAAAUUGGAGAAGGAAGCAAUUGGACUUACCUGGAUUGGCACGUGAGACCGAUAGUUGAACAAGUCCAGAGGUGAGGUAAUAAUCUACCGAAGACUAUACGCGAACUAAACGCAGGAAGAAAGAGAAGACUUCAACCUCAGGUCUGACUUUGGUUUUAUAAUGUGCAAGAGUUUGAUGUUUGGUUGGCAUAGGAAUGGCGUGAUGCAAGGAUUUGACUGCUACAAGGCAGUGCGUGUGCAGGCAUAUGCGAGGUUGAUCGGCUAUUGGCACGGAUAUAGACAUGGUCAUAUGGAGGUAGAUGAAGGUUUCGACACGGCGAGAAGUGGAUAUGAAGGUCGUAUUGAAUGAAAUAGGAGGCUUGAUGAAGUGUGUGUAAUGUCUGGUUCUAAAAUAUGAACAUGUGUUUUUGAUGAUAUGUGCAGGUUCAGAGGUAAUGAGGGUCUGUUAAUGUGAAUUGGUUAUGGAACUGUCAGAUUGAUAUGGUUUUAAUGUGUAGUGUGACAGUUCUUGCUUUGAUAGUGCUUGUGAUAAUGAUAUAAUUAUGCAGGUUGGCUUAUAGGUUUGGAUUGGGAAGGAGGUAAAGCCUUUGGCAAUGCUCGUCAAUGAGAGAUGCUGGGAUCUUGUGGACUGGUUAGCAGGCAUGGUGUGAAGUAUUUAAACGUCACGGUUUUGCUGACAGUUAAGAAGCUGUUGGAAUUUUCAUGAAGAGUUGGACUUGGUUUUGAAUGGACUGUUUGGAGUUGGUGUAGCUUUAGGAACAAGUGUUCGAGUGCUUGUGUUGUAUUGAUUUUGAAUGUGUCUACUUGAAAGGUUGGUGCUAUGGAAGAUAACUUGGCCGUGAAGAAAACAUAAAGCAAAUGGUCAAUGAUGUAUGAAGGAAUUCUGGAACAGCUUGGUUUUAUUUCUUUAUAUAUUUCCAAUUCUGACUUUUUUCUUUGUAAUGUAUCUUGUAACUUUAUGAUGGAUUUUGACCUUGUAUGGGACUUGUAAUUCAAGUAAUGAAGUAGAACACUUUCCCUA
Molecule: long non-coding RNA, 1255 nt
Organism: Vicia villosa (hairy vetch)
Lineage: Eukaryota; Viridiplantae; Streptophyta; Magnoliopsida; Fabales; Fabaceae
Exons: 5
Source: RefSeq, a predicted model, not a curated record